GCCUGGCUGGCUCAGUGGGUAGAGCACGCAACUCUUGAUCUUUGGAGUCAUGAGUUCAAGCCCCAUGUUGGGCA
Molecule: transfer RNA, 74 nt
Filed under: Ailuropoda melanoleuca (giant panda)
Lineage: Eukaryota; Metazoa; Chordata; Mammalia; Carnivora; Ursidae
Rfam family: tRNA
About the family: Transfer RNA (tRNA) molecules are approximately 80 nucleotides in length.
Source: Rfam by way of RNAcentral